This 160-nucleotide ribosomal RNA is filed under the name Klebsiella pneumoniae. RNAcentral's name for it is "partial 16S ribosomal RNA". It matches the Rfam family "Bacterial small subunit ribosomal RNA", at positions 1384 to 1533 of the family's 1533-position model. The record is from RNAcentral. Lineage: Bacteria; Pseudomonadati; Pseudomonadota; Gammaproteobacteria; Enterobacterales; Enterobacteriaceae. RNAcentral also lists the same sequence under 3 other names.
UACACACCGCCCGUCACACCAUGGGAGUGGGUUGCAAAAGAAGUAGGUAGCUUAACCUUCGGGAGGGCGCUUACCACUUUGUGAUUCAUGACUGGGGUGAAGUCGUAACAAGGUAACCGUAGGGGAACCUGCGGUUGGAUCACCUCCUUACCUUAAAGAA